RNAcentral lists this unclassified non-coding RNA (293 nucleotides) under Glomeraceae sp. Its description in RNAcentral is "partial contains 5.8S ribosomal RNA and internal transcribed spacer 2". The stretch from base 1 to 71 matches the Rfam family "5.8S ribosomal RNA", at positions 84 to 154 of the family's 154-position model. The record is from RNAcentral. Lineage: Eukaryota; Fungi; Glomeromycota; Glomeromycetes; Glomerales; Glomeraceae.
GUGAAUCAUCAAAUUUUUGAACGCAAAUUGCACUUUUUGGUAUUCCGGAAAGUAUGCCUGUUUGAGGGUCAGUUAAAUAAAAAUCGGUGUUUUUGCUGCUUUUCGUGGUGACGCUUCGUAAUUUAGUUGUCUUACCUUCGGUUAAGUUACUUAAAAUUUUUCAUCAUUUACGAUCUUUUUUAAAUUUCGUACGUACGAUUGAGAUAUCGAAUACUUUAUUAGGUUCGUUCAUCAUCAGGAUUCGCACCUAUAUUUUUUCAUUAAAUGACCUCAACUCAUUUAAGAACACCCUC